RNAcentral lists this ribosomal RNA (484 nucleotides) under uncultured bacterium. RNAcentral's name for it is "bacterial SSU rRNA". It matches the Rfam family "Bacterial small subunit ribosomal RNA", at positions 28 to 495 of the family's 1533-position model. The record is from RNAcentral.
GAUGAACGCUGGCGGCAUGCCUAAUACAUGCAAGUCGAACGAGAGGAAGGAAAGCUUGCUUUUCUGAAUCUAGUGGCGAACGGGUGAGUAACACGUAGGUAACCUGCCCAUGUGCCCGGGAUAACUUCUGGAAACGGAUGCUAAAACCGGAUAGGUAGCAGACAAGCAUUUGACUGCUAUUAAAGUGGCUAAGGCCAUGAACAUGGAUGGACCUGCGGUGCAUUAGCUAGUUGGUGAGGUAACGGCCCACCAAGGCGACGAUGCAUAGCCGGCCUGAGAGGGCGGACGGCCACAUUGGGACUGAGACACGGCCCAAACUCCUACGGGAGGCAGCAGUAGGGAAUUUUCGUCAAUGGGGGGAACCCUGAACGAGCAAUGCCGCGUGAGUGAAGAAGGUCUUCGGAUCGUAAAGCUCUGUUGUAAGAGAAAAACGACAUUCAUAGGGAAUGAUGAGUGAGUGAUGGUAUCUUACCAGAAAGUCACG